This 468-nucleotide ribosomal RNA is filed under the name uncultured bacterium. RNAcentral's name for it is "partial 16S ribosomal RNA". It matches the Rfam family "Bacterial small subunit ribosomal RNA", at positions 28 to 507 of the family's 1533-position model. The record is from RNAcentral.
GACGAACGCUGGCGGCGUGCUUAACACAUGCAAGUCGAACGGAAAGGCCCUGCUUUUGUGGGGUGCUCGAGUGGCGAACGGGUGAGUAACACGUGAGUAACCUGCCCUUGACUUUGGGAUAACUUCAGGAAACUGGGGCUAAUACCGGAUAGGAGCUCCUGCUGCAUGGUGGGGGUUGGAAAGUUUCGGCGGUUGGGGAUGGACUCGCGGCUUAUCAGCUUGUUGGUGGGGUAGUGGCUUACCAAGGCUUUGACGGGUAGCCGGCCUGAGAGGGUGACCGGCCACAUGGGGACUGAGAGACGGCCCGGACCCAUACGGGAGGCAGCAGGGGGGAUUAUUGAACAGGGGGCGGAGGCCUGAUGCAGCAACCCCGCGUGGGGGAUGAGGGCUGUCGGUUUGUAAACCGCUUUCGCCGGUGACGAAGGGGGAGGGAGGGUAAGGGGUAAAGAAGCACCGGCAAACUAGGUC